GUUAAGGAUUAUCUUCUCAGAAGCAGGACUGGGAGUGGUGAACCCUGGAGUAUCCUCCUCCUUUACCAGCACCUUGUAGUGGAGACUAAUCCCUACAGCUGUGUGGAUUGUCAUCAGCCAUGCGCUGCACAGGAGCCAAACAUUACAGCCUUCUGUAAAACAACUUUUCAGACAUCUCAUGUUGCCAUGGAAAUGGACCUGUGCUCACUGAAAGCUGGUGCAGGUGAUGGCACAAGUGCACGUGAAGUUUAAGUUGUACGUAGGAUCCUGAGCAUCGACUCUCACCAGAUUGAAGAGUGAUAGAGAAUCAUGUACACAAUUGUUUCCUACAUUUUUGCUGAAAGAAAAAAUAAAGGAUUUUG
Molecule: non-coding RNA, 362 nt
Organism: Lonchura striata (white-rumped munia)
Lineage: Eukaryota; Metazoa; Chordata; Aves; Passeriformes; Estrildidae
Source: RefSeq, a predicted model, not a curated record